Molecule: ribosomal RNA, 1528 nt
Filed under: Neisseria meningitidis NM3222
Lineage: Bacteria; Pseudomonadati; Pseudomonadota; Betaproteobacteria; Neisseriales; Neisseriaceae
Description: bacterial SSU rRNA
Rfam family: Bacterial small subunit ribosomal RNA
Source: RNAcentral
AGAGUUUGAUCCUGGCUCAGAUUGAACGCUGGCGGCAUGCUUUACACAUGCAAGUCGGACGGCAGCACAGAGAAGCUUGCUUCUCGGGUGGCGAGUGGCGAACGGGUGAGUAACAUAUCGGAACGUACCGAGUAGUGGGGGAUAACUGAUCGAAAGAUCAGCUAAUACCGCAUACGUCUUGAGAGAGAAAGCAGGGGACCUUUGGGCCUUGCGCUAUUCGAGCGGCCGAUAUCUGAUUAGCUAGUUGGUGGGGUAAAGGCCUACCAAGGCGACGAUCAGUAGCGGGUCUGAGAGGAUGAUCCGCCACACUGGGACUGAGACACGGCCCAGACUCCUACGGGAGGCAGCAGUGGGGAAUUUUGGACAAUGGGCGCAAGCCUGAUCCAGCCAUGCCGCGUGUCUGAAGAAGGCCUUCGGGUUGUAAAGGACUUUUGUCAGGGAAGAAAAGGCUGUUGCUAAUACCAGCGGCUGAUGACGGUACCUGAAGAAUAAGCACCGGCUAACUACGUGCCAGCAGCCGCGGUAAUACGUAGGGUGCGAGCGUUAAUCGGAAUUACUGGGCGUAAAGCGGGCGCAGACGGUUACUUAAGCAGGAUGUGAAAUCCCCGGGCUCAACCCGGGAACUGCGUUCUGAACUGGGUGACUCGAGUGUGUCAGAGGGAGGUAGAAUUCCACGUGUAGCAGUGAAAUGCGUAGAGAUUGGAGGAAUACCGAUGGCGAAGGCAGCCUCCUGGGACAACACUGACGUUCAUGCCCGAAAGCGUGGGUAGCAAACAGGAUUAGAUACCCUGGUAGUCCACGCCCUAAACGAUGUCAAUUAGCUGUUGGGCAACUUGAUUGCUUAGUAGCGUAGCUAACGCGUGAAAUUGACCGCCUGGGGAGUACGGUCGCAAGAUUAAAACUCAAAGGAAUUGACGGGGACCCGCACAAGCGGUGGAUGAUGUGGAUUAAUUCGAUGCAACGCGAAGAACCUUACCUGGUCUUGACAUGUACGGAAUCCUCCAGAGACGGAGGAGUGCCUUCGGGAGCCGUAACACAGGUGCUGCAUGGCUGUCGUCAGCUCGUGUCGUGAGAUGUUGGGUUAAGUCCCGCAACGAGCGCAACCCUUGUCAUUAGUUGCCAUCAUUCAGUUGGGCACUCUAAUGAGACUGCCGGUGACAAGCCGGAGGAAGGUGGGGAUGACGUCAAGUCCUCAUGGCCCUUAUGACCAGGGCUUCACACGUCAUACAAUGGUCGGUACAGAGGGUAGCCAAGCCGCGAGGCGGAGCCAAUCUCACAAAACCGAUCGUAGUCCGGAUUGCACUCUGCAACUCGAGUGCAUGAAGUCGGAAUCGCUAGUAAUCGCAGGUCAGCAUACUGCGGUGAAUACGUUCCCGGGUCUUGUACACACCGCCCGUCACACCAUGGGAGUGGGGGAUACCAGAAGUAGGUAGGGUAACCGCAAGGGGUCCGCUUACCACGGUAUGCUUCAUGACUGGGGUGAAGUCGUAACAAGGUAGCCGUAGGGGAACCUGCGGCUGGAUCACCU